GGCUGCUCCGUCACGAAGACGUUCUCACCGCUGCCUUUGUGAAGGAUGCCUGGAACAACAAACAAGUCUUUAUUCUAGAGGAGCUUUUUGGAACAGUUUCCACACACCGACCAACAUGAAGAUCCUGGAUUACUUCAUGAAAAAGUUGAUGCUGAUUGGCUGAUGCACGGGUUCAGUUAACAAAGGAGUUGAACUCGGCGAGACAACACUUCCUGUAAAACAAUCCUUGCUGACAGGUAAAGCAAGUGCCUGACAGCCUAAUGUGAACCACAGGAAGCGCUGUGUGGUCUAAACGCCCUCCCUGCGAGCCCCCCCUUUGACAAUGGCACAUUAAGUGAGAUACACAGUGCGGAAACCUGCAACACAUGGGGAACUGGCUAAAUAUAAACUGGAGAGUAAAGCUGAGGAAAACCGUCUGCAAAGUCUAUGCUCAAUUGUGGGUUUAAAAAAAAAUCAAGGUGUGUACAUUAAACUUACCGCUGCGA
This is a long non-coding RNA of Austrofundulus limnaeus, 485 nucleotides long. RefSeq lists it as uncharacterized. The record is from RefSeq and is a predicted model, not a curated record. The transcript has 2 exons. NCBI's taxonomy places the organism in Eukaryota, Metazoa, Chordata, Actinopteri, Cyprinodontiformes, Rivulidae.